UACGGAGGGUGCAAGCGUUAUCCGGAUUCACUGGGUUUAAAGGGUGCGUAGGUGGGCUGGUAAGUCAGUGGUGAAAUCUCCAGGCUUAACUUGGAUACUGCCAUUGAUACUAUCAGUCUUGAAUACCGUGGAGGUCAGCGGAAUAUGUCAUGUAGCGGUGAAAUGCUUAGAUAUGACAUAGAACACCAAUUGCGAAGGCAGCUGGCUACACGAAUAUUGACUCUGAGGCACGAAAGCGUGGGGAUCAAACAGG
RNAcentral lists this ribosomal RNA (253 nucleotides) under uncultured bacterium. RNAcentral describes it as "partial 16S ribosomal RNA". It matches the Rfam family "Bacterial small subunit ribosomal RNA", at positions 524 to 776 of the family's 1533-position model. The record is from RNAcentral.